ACUCAGAGACACAAGUAGCAGCUGAAGUGUCUGGUGAAUCUCCUGACAGAUUCCCAAGGGCUGGGAGGCACAAAAAUGAAAUGGGAGACUGCUCUCUGGAUGGUUGCCUGCUUACUGCUUGCAUCUCUGCCCAGAGGUAAAUAUUCCAUAGUGCACACCUAGGAAUGUGCAGAGGCAUUUACAUGCAAACACACAAGCUGCAAGCAGAAUCUUGGAGCAAAAC
RNAcentral lists this long non-coding RNA (223 nucleotides) under Serinus canaria (Common canary). RNAcentral describes it as "lncRNA (ENSSCAG00000011321.1)". Lineage: Eukaryota; Metazoa; Chordata; Aves; Passeriformes; Fringillidae. The record is from RNAcentral.